UACCUGAAAUUUAAAACUUCUGUUGAUAACAGAAUCGAAGGUGAUUACACAGUUUCAACUCCACCACAAGAACUCAACGGCAAAUCAAAACUCGAAUAACAGCAAACCAGUAGCAGUCUAGUAGAAAUAAGAGGUUCGAACAGCGACCAACUCGAACUUCUUUUGAUAAUAGAAUCGAAGGUGAUUACACAGUUUCGACUCCAAAAUUCCCACAAGAACUCAAUGGCAAAUCAAAACUCGAAGUACAGCAAACCAGUAGCAGUCAAAUAGAAAUAAGAGGUUCGAACAGCGACCAACUCAGCAAAUUCUCAAACGAGCUCCACUUUAAAAGAACUCCACCCCAGAAAGAAGAUACGAAAUAUUUUUUUUUUAUUUUUCUGAAAUGUAAUUGAAAACGAAAACAGACUCAAAGAACAAUGAACAUUUUUUUAUAUCUGUUUUCCUUACUCUGGAACUAAACUAAACUUAGAAAACUAAAAUGAAGAAGGAUGUUACUUUGAACCUUAGCCUUUCUGCCAAAAUCUCUCUCCAAAAUAAUCCUCCCCUCUCAAAAUCGGAUCCAGCCCUUUAUGAAAUGAACCCCUGACGAAUGUGGGGCUCGGAUUGAAUGAAAUGUAUCCAAUACCUCACAUUCAUCCAAUGAAUCGUCUCUAGGACCUCCCAAUCGCGAGGUAAAUCUCAAAAACAAGCAAAUUAGAGGAGAGGGAAUCUUUGGUGUCAGAAACCGUUAUCUGCGAUAAGAGGAGAGAUAGAGGAACGCGUGGGUUAGGGACUGAUAUCCACUCGCGUGAAUUUUGAGCUGAAAUGGGGGCUUGGUUCGUGGAGAAGAAGAACAGUACACAGAAUCGCGUUUGAGAGAUUUAGGGUUUUCGUGAUUUUUUGGGUCUCUGAAGACUGCUGUGUAUUUUGGGUAUGUGGAGCUGAACCGGGUUUGGGCUGGUAA
RNAcentral lists this long non-coding RNA (943 nucleotides) under Nicotiana benthamiana. RNAcentral describes it as "long non-coding RNA (NBEN_LNC005192)". Lineage: Eukaryota; Viridiplantae; Streptophyta; Magnoliopsida; Solanales; Solanaceae. The record is from RNAcentral.